RNAcentral lists this ribosomal RNA (301 nucleotides) under uncultured bacterium. Its description in RNAcentral is "partial 16S ribosomal RNA". It matches the Rfam family "Bacterial small subunit ribosomal RNA", at positions 509 to 807 of the family's 1533-position model. The record is from RNAcentral.
CAGUCGCCGCGGUAAUACGAAGGGUGCAAGCGUUACUCGGAAUUACUGGGCGCAAAGCGUGCGUAGGUGGUGGUUUAAGUCCGUUGUGAAAGCCCUGGGCUCAACCUGGGAAUUGCAGUGGAUACUGGGUCACUAGAGUGUGGUAGAGGAUAGUGGAAUUUCCGGUGUAGCAGUGAAAUGCGUAGAGAUCGGAAGGAACAUCUGUGGCGAAGGCGACUAUCUGGGCCAACACUGACGCUGAGGCACGAAAGCGUGGGGAGCAAACAGGAUUAGAUACCCCCGUAGUCCCUGUCUCUUAUAC